RNAcentral lists this long non-coding RNA (4068 nucleotides) under Manihot esculenta (cassava). Its description in RNAcentral is "long non-coding RNA (MESC_LNC007185)". The record is from RNAcentral. Lineage: Eukaryota; Viridiplantae; Streptophyta; Magnoliopsida; Malpighiales; Euphorbiaceae.
CAAGCACAACACUAAUCCAUUACUCUACUAUACUUGCAUUACAUUACAUUGUCUUAUCUUACAAUCCAUUAUAUCAAUUUAUAAUACAUGUCCACACUAAAAGUACUAAUCUAUUACAUUAACAAGACUAUUACCCCUGACGUCUUCCUGGACUACCUCUGACCUGCAAAACUGGGGUUAGGGGAGAGGGGUGAGCUAAAAAGUCCAGUGAGUAGAAACAGAAAAACAGUUCAUUAAUUUUAUGCUUUCAUGAGAUGCGUCACAGCACAAACAUUUCAUAUAACGGAUGGACAUGACCACCAAAACUCCCUCUGACUGUAACAUAACAUGGUGCCCGGCCCUUCGGGCUCCUCAGGACUUCAUUAACAUAUCAUAAAUGGGGCUAUUGGGGUCGCCUUAGUCCAUCCACAUCAACAGUAAAUAAUGCAAUGCGUCAUAUUUGUGUAACUAAUGCAAUCAACCUAUUACAUAUAAACAUGAUGCAUGAACAUGCUUUAGGCAUUUGACUUUCAUAAAAUAAAAGAUUAAGUUUAGUUCUACUCACCUCUGGCAGACGCUGGACUGACUCUGCAACUGCUAACACUGAUGGCCUCCUCGGUCCCUCGGGUCCAAUCCUACACAGGUGGACUCGAAUGAGGUGCCAAACACACUCUAAACAACUCAUAAACAACUACCCAAAAAUCCCCUAAAACAACCUCAAAACAUGCAUAGAAAACAACCAUGAAAAGGCUGGACAGGGCACUUUCGGCGGCCGAAUGUGCCUUCCAGAGCCGAAAGCCAUGCAGGUUCGGCGGCCGAAGUCUCUCUCCAGAUCUGAAAGUCAAGCACCUUCGGCAGCCGAACAUUACCUUCGGCGGCCGAAAGUCUACUCCAGAUCCGAAACACAGCUUUCGGGGGCAAGGUUAGGCAGCCAGCCCAUGCAUCCAUAGGCAGGUUCGGCGGCCGAAACUACCUUCGGCGGCCGAACCUGAGUUCAUCCAGAACUCAGCCUCUUAUGCAUACAAGCCUCCCAAGCCUUCCAAACACCCCAAACAAGCACCCAACCUCUUAAUAACAUUCAUAAACCCUUAACCAUGCACAAAGGAGCUUAAACAAGCUUAAACUCCAACAAAAAACAUCAUAAAGCAUACAUAAAUAGCUUAUGACCCACAUAAGCCAAAACCAUCAAAACUACUCAAAACCUCACUUGCUCUCUCCCAAUCAUGCAUACACUCUUCCACAUGCAUAAAGGAGCAUAAACUAAUAUAAACUCCUCAACACAAACAUCACAUAACAUACAUUGGGCAUAAAAUCCACAUAAACCCUAACAUGCAUAUCUACCCAUACCCAACCACCAAAACAUCUUUAAACUUACUUAAAACUUCAUUAAAACACUAGGAAAGCGAGGAUCUACACUUACCUCUUGAAGAUCGAGGGGUGGUGCGAUCCCUAACUCGGAGGUGUGGAGGAUCCAAGCUUCAAAAGCCUCCAAGCUCCCAAAACUCCUAUUUAAGCUUCAAAACUUCAAAACAAGGGUAGAACUCAUGAAAAAUUUGAGGGAUGGGUAGAGAAAGCAUGAAAACGACCAAAGGAGUACAAAAACUCACCUGAGCUCGAGAAUGGGGAGAAAACUCGCCCAUUUCCGAUCUGAGGGCUCUUUAUAGGUGGCCUAGUCAAAGACCUUCGGCAGCCUAACGUGCCCUCUAAACUCAUGCAUGUUCGGCGGCCGAACCUUGGUUCGUUCAAACAAAGCUUUCGGAGGCCAAAAGCUCUCCCGAAACCUUCCCAUGUUCGGCGGCCGAACUUCACUUUCGGCGGCCGUACCUGGCAAACGCCUCCUUGGUCUUUUCUUUUCAAAACUAAAUUCUUUUCCAUUUAAAACCAUGAAAUCAGUAAAAACAUUUUUGAAAACACAUUUUACCCCUCUAGAAGACUCUGGCAUCAUUAAAAUUCCAGAUUCCAACAGAGAUUCCGCCGGAAGGUAGGGAUUCCGAUGCCGGAAUCUAGCCGGGUAUUACAAAGGGCUUCAUCUCAUUGGAGCUCUGCAGCAGACACUCAUUGAGAUGAUUAGGCAGCCUCUUCCCUCAGAUCACCUAUUUGCUUGGUGAGAUCUAAGAUUUUCCCCUUGAAAAUAUUGAUGUGAUCGUGAGACACAGCAGUGACAGUUAAGUUCUCAUCCCGUCGCGCUUCCUCGAUCAGGAGAUCAAUAUAACUCUGAAUAGAUCGAUUCCUAGCAUCGAUGUACAUAAAAAUGCCUAAAGAGUAGCAAAAAGGGAACAAAAUGAAAUAGGUGAGUAGAAAACAAGAUAAAACAUUGAAAAGAAAAGGGAAUACAACUUACCAUAAGUAAAAACUCUCAUAAAUUUUUCCCAAGAGUUUUCAAAGGGCGUGAGCUGCAAGCGAGUUGUUGCUUGGUAGAACAGGCUAAAUUGUAGAGACUCCUAGGAAAUGAGGAUCAGAGACAUCUAGCACUCUACCAAAGACCUUGUUACAAAGCAGCCCGGUCAUAGAUGCCAGCAUGAAAUCCACAUUGAUCUGGGAAAAGGCUAAACAACUAUCGUCUGGGGCAGAAGACAGAUUGACAGAGAUCUCCAAGGCUCUCUUCCCUUUGUUAAUAGAUGAAGGGAGUUUGGCAUUAGUAGGAGUGGAAUUCCUAGCUUGUUUGGCCGGACGACCCUCAAUAAUCAAGUCCCUCUAGCAGAAGGGACACUUUGGAUAGGAGAGUCGUCGCCUUUCUUUGAGCCCUCAUGCUCUGAUUCACUGACAUCAAUAAGGUUUAAGAAAGAACACUAGGUUACGUCCAUAUUGAGCAUCUAUCAAACCCUUAUUUGAUGAAUCAAACAGAACUAUCCUCUCAUUACCCUAAUUCUAAAAUUUUUGGUGUCUAUAAGAUCUCGAGAAAGGUGUUCGAGCAAUGAAGAAGAAGUAACAGAAGAGACUAGAUCCUCCACUGUCAAAAAUUCAACAGGAGCCAUGAAGAGAGUGAUAACGUACCUCUAAUUAGCAAUGCAAAAUUACUAGGAAAAGGAAUGUAGAAACAAAGCAGAAACAAAGCAGAAAUGGAAGCAAUGGAUACAAAGUAAAAUUUUGAAAUCAGAAGAAGACAAGGGAAAUGACACAUAUCAUGCUUCUUUCUCGAACCAGAAAAAAUUAAAUGAAGUCUCGGUAUUUACUUUCUCUCCAACCAUGAAAUAAUUGAUGAGGAAGUAAAGAGGCACUUGAUACUAAAUGGGCUAUGCACCAAUAGGCUUACAAUGGCUCACACGAUGCCUAUUAGAGUCGGUUAAAAUAUGGGUCCAAAAAGCGUUAUUGAUUGAGAUUAAAGCCCAAAUUAGGCUUUACAAUAUGAGGCCAAACCAAAACCAAAGAGAGUUGAGAAAUCCAGUCAAGCUCUACUAACCCACAAAAUCAAUCUAAAAUAGAAGCUGAAAAAGUAGGGAUCAUACCUUUUAAAUGUCAAAACCAAAUGAGAAAUUAAAUAACUGCCUAAUAAAUAUCAAAAUCUCAUAAUCGUCAAAUAAGUCAUCCUGGCGGCACAGGAGCCAUGUCAAAACAUGGGACUAUAAUGGCAUACCCACAAAAGACAAAAAAGGCAUGGAGUAAAAAGGAAAAGAAUAAUCAAACCCAAAAAGAGCUUACCAAAAAACUCAACCCUGAACCUUACAUUUGGAUCUCGAGAUAUCAAUUUGCACCAUCUGGGCAACAGGCCCUCAAUCUGCCGCUCUUGUUGGUCUUUUCCUAACCUGGCAUGGGUUUACCCUCCCCAUCGCUGGUUUUGCUUUCAGCAGCGGUGCUCCUUUGGAGAGUGUUAUCAUGUGGCUACUGUGUUGCUUGUGUGUUUUUCUUCUUUGCUUCUUUAUACAAGUUGGAGGCUGCCCAGAUCUGUUCUUAUUGUGGUUACCUGGCAAGAGAAGGAGGCGGUGGCUCAUGGAGUUUGAGGCUUAGAAGGCAAAAAGGGGAUGUCGAAAAGUGCACCUUCACCAACUCUCUACUAGCGACUUUAGAUCUGGAGCAGUUUUCCUUGUCUUUGGUAUCUUCCCACCAGAUUUGGUUUGCAUGCAAAGCUUCCUUCUACUAGGUGCUUUUNNN